ACCCUUGAAAGUGGAAGAUCUGCGACUGAUUGUUUCACUAAUGAGGGUUUGGUUCUGAAGCAUCUGUGACAUCGAUGAAACACAGACUUCGUCAAGUUGCGUCCACCGAUGAUCCAAAAACGUUGACGGAGUAUCGAUAACAAAAGUUCCGGACCGGCAUGCAGGUGAUUCUGGUGGUAUGCCUGUGCCAACAAUACUGCCAAUUGAUGCUUGGAAGAAAGCAAUAUUGGAUGUUUUGACGAUUCUUCGAGUUGCGCAUUGCGUAGCCGGCCACCAACACGCAUUAAUCCCGCCUGGUCGAUGAAUGGGGAUAACCAUUUUAGUCGCGAGCUACGUGGUAUCUGUCUUCCAUUGGCAAUCUCGGUCCGCUCGUCCGGGAACGAAUCCUGCUGCGCUAAUAGACACAACUGAAGCUCGGCUCGGUGUAACUCGUUGCUUGUCAGAGGUGGUACUGUGACGAUGAGUGAAUGAAUGGAGCGAUGCGUAUUGUUUGCUGACCCCGUUGAUGAUUUGCUCGACUUCAUGCACGCAAUGAAACGCAAACAAUAUGCCGUAGUUCGACGUAGUCGCAGGUAAGUAGAGAACCGUGAAAAAAAGCUGUUGCUAAACUCAUUGGUCAUUGACAAGGAAGCAACCUGCAUUUGAACCGCCCGUUCUUCUCCCGUUGAUUCGAUUCCUCCUGUUUCAGGUUCUCCUUUUGGCCAUGCGUCUUCUUUGCUGCUCAGCCAAUACGGUCCGUGCCACCACCGAUGGCAUGAUAGUAAUUUAUCAGGAAGCAGACCGCGCGACACAUCGUCUGCUGGGUUGUCCACACCCGGAACAUGACGCCAGCAUUUUAUUUUUGUUUCUGCCUGAAUUUGUGCUACUCUAUUUGCAACGAAUGGCUUCCAACGCCUUGGUGGUGAGUUUAGCCAGUGUAAGACGGUCAUUGAAUCAGUCCAGCAAAAGGCUUCGCAAAUACUGGGAAUAGACUGACUGACCUUCCGAAACAGUUGCGUUGCCAAUCUUGCAGCACAAAGCUCCAACCUUGCGAUUGAAUUGGUGUUCGCCAAUGACACCACUUUCGAUUUUGCCGCCAUAAGUUGCACCGAAAUUCCUGAAGGGCCCUCUGUUCUGAUGUAGCAACAAGCACCGUAAGCUAGUUGCGAAGCAUCUGCGAAAAUGUGCAACUGCUUACUUGUUGCUCCUCUAAGUGAUGUGAACCGAGGGAUGCGCACUUCACGGAGUAAGUGUAGCUUGGAAUGAAACACCAUCCAUUCCUUUUGUAGAUGUGAUGGGAGCUCAGUAUCCCAAUCCCAAGCCUUCCCGUUUGAUUUUAAGGCCCACAAUUGUUGCAUAAAGAGUUUGGCAAUAAUGAUGGUUGGGCCAAGUAAACCGAGUGGGUCGAAAACCCUUGCGAUGUAUGAUAAAGUUAGCCUCUUUGUUAACACCGUCGCCGUAGGUGGCAGAUCGAUCCGAAACCGAAGUAUAUCAACUGCGGGUUCCCAAACCAAGCCCAGCGUUGAUACGAAUUGUUGAUCUUGCCAUUCGUGAGUAGGAAGCAUUGCCAAAUCAUCCGAUGGGACACCUUCUAGAGCUUCCGGUACGUUGGAUGCCCACUUUUUCAACGAGAAGCCAGCUGAAUUAAGCAUUCCCGAUAUCUGCUUCCGUAUCUCAGCCGCAUCCGCUACGUCUUCUGUUCCUGUUAGUAGAUCGUCCACAUAGAAGUCGUGGAGUACUGCAUUCACCGCUCUUGGAUAGUGCGUUUGAUGAUCAUGAGCGAUUUGUUGCAAGGUCCUAGUUGCCAGAAAGGGCGCCGAUGCGGUACCGUAGGUAACUGUUUGUAGCUGGUAGGUUUUAAUCGGUACUUCCGGAUUCUCUCGGUACCGAAUGCGAAGGUAUCGUUGGUCGCAUUCAUCGUGCAGCACUUGGCGAUACAUCUUCUCUACAUCCGCUGAUAGGGCGACUGCGUGCGAACGAAACCGAACGAUGAUGUUGAAAAGGUCGUCUUGAAUCACAGGCCCAACCAACAGCUUGUCAUUCAAUGAGUAACCCGAGGAUGUCUUACACGAAGCAUCGAAUACAACUCUGACCUUCGUGGUUGUGCUCGUCUCCUUCACUACCGCGUGAUGAGGAAGAUAGUAGUGUUCACAAGUGUCAUCAAUCGGUUCGGGUUGGAUUUCAAACGACGUUCUACUGCUAGGAGCCGACGAUCAGCUAUCGCCUUGGAUGCUCCUAAAACGAUACCAGGAUUAGUGGAUUGAGAACCGUUCCAAGAUCGAUUCCAGUGGGGAUGAUUCGCUGGUAGAAAGGUGAAAAGCCGAUGAUCCUUGUGCGGAAGUCUUCGACGAAUGCCCAGCGACGACCCAACCGAAAGGGGUUUCCACUAGCCACGGUUUCCCUUUGCCGAGGGACCGCUUCCUGCCGGAAUGCAGCUCCCAAUACGUGUCUCCUCCGAUGAUAAUGUCGAUCUGGCCAGGCUUGUAGAACGAUGGAUCCGCGAGUGGCACAUCAGGGAUUCUCCACGCCGACGCAUCAACGGGUGCCGGUGGAAUAUGCCAGAAUGGAGCGUCAACAAUGAGCAACUCCAGCUGAGCGACAUGCGUACGGUUCGUUGAUUCCACGGAUGCGAUAAGUGAACCGUUCACUCGCUGCACUGCGUUCCCGAUGCCUGAUACCGAAACGUUCACCUUCUUCCGAGGUGUUCCAAUGAGCUUCCGAGCCAGUGCCUCGGAAAUGAAAUUCGACAUAGAGCCCGAAUCGAGGAGAGCUCUUGCCUCAUGCCGAUUUCCGUAACCAUCCACGAUGGACAGCAGCGUCGUUUCCAAAAACACCAUGUGGUUGUCUGUUUGCGCUGUCAUUGCGACCGUUGCGUUAGGAAGAGGAGAGUGUAAUAAUGUGUGGUGACGCUGACCACACGUACGGCAGGUAUAAUCCGACUUACAUGCCUUUACUUGGUGGGAAUCACUUAAACAGUUCCAACACAAAUGUUUCGAAGCCACAAUAUCACGACGUUGUUGCACGUCCUUUCCAAAAAAUACCGGACAGUUGCGAAGAAGGUGGCCCUCAACGCACUGUAAAGGACACUUGUGGCUCGUUGCACUGGGUGGCGAUGAUCGCGUAGGAGUUGCGGUUGCGAUCGAUCGUCGUGAUGUAGAUGGACGAGCGGAGCCGGCCACCUUUCGCGAACAAUCACUGCGUCAUUAGCAAAGUUGUUGGUCGAUUUCAAAAUUUGUAUCCUAUCAUGUACAAAAUCGAGCACGUCCUUAUAUCUGUCCCUAGUGAAGUGCACCGAAUGUUUCUCCCACGCUAAAACUGUUGCUCGAUCCAACUUCAUGAGCAACAUGUUCGACAGCGGCGUGUCCCACGAAUCUACUGGUUCAUUCAGUUUCACAAAACCGUUCACGUAUCGCGAAAAUUCGUCCACUAAGUUCGUCAGUUUUUCAACACUCUCCGAUUGAACGCAGGGUAAAUAGUGCAAUUUACGGUAAUACUCACGUACGAGCAGGCGCGAAUUAUCGUAGCGUUUGAGCAACGCUGCCCAGGUCACUGAAUAGUUGUCAGCCGUGAGAGAGGUGUGUUCAAAAGGUAGGGCCGCGUCCCCUUUCAAAGAAGAGAGCAAAUAUUCCAAUUUUGCUAUCGAUGGCAGCUCUGGUGAAGCGUCGAUCAUGGCGAUAAAUCGAUCGCGAAACGACAGCCAUUUCGUUUGGUCCCCAUCGAAGGUCGGCAGCUCGAUCUUAGGGAGACGCAAGUGCGGUGCGUUCGGCCGUCCAAACGCUAGCGUAGAAGAAACCAAACCCGUGGUUUCGUUGAGGGAACCGUCUUCCUUUCGAUUAUUCUCGCGUAAGAAAGAUUUUAUUUUUCUACACCGCUCUUCGAUAUUGAUUCGGUCCAUAAUGCACGCUUCGAUCGCGUCAUUGGUAUCGUCGAGCUCUUCCAACUUUGAUACCGCGGCGAAGAACCCUUCCCUAUGUCUCUCCAGGUCUUCUAACGCUUCUGGGAUUUGCUUGUAGUCAUCCCCGGAAUAUUGUCCAAUAAACCGUUCGAGAGCGUUUAUGUUUUCCACUGCGAUCCUCCUUUUUAGUUGUAUGGCCUUUAUUUUCUUAUCCAUAUUUCACUUUACACACGAAAGAAACAACACUUUGGCGC
Molecule: long non-coding RNA, 4128 nt
Organism: Anopheles stephensi (Asian malaria mosquito)
Lineage: Eukaryota; Metazoa; Arthropoda; Insecta; Diptera; Culicidae
Exons: 3
Source: RefSeq, a predicted model, not a curated record